CGGGGUACACGAGCGGCGAACGGGUGAGUAACACGUGGGUGACCUGCCCUUCACUCUGGGAUAAGCCCGGGAAACUGGGUCUAAUACCGGAUAUUCACUUUGCCUCGCAUGGGGUUUGGUGGAAAGUUUUUUCGGUGGGGGAUGGGCCCGCGGCCUAUCAGCUUGUUGGUGGGGUGAUGGCCUACCAAGGCGACGACGGGUAGCCGGCCUGAGAGGGCGACCGGCCACACUGGGACUGAGACACGGCCCAG
Molecule: ribosomal RNA, 251 nt
Filed under: uncultured bacterium
Lineage: Bacteria
Description: partial 16S ribosomal RNA
Rfam family: Bacterial small subunit ribosomal RNA
Source: RNAcentral